Molecule: ribosomal RNA, 494 nt
Filed under: uncultured bacterium
Lineage: Bacteria
Description: partial 16S ribosomal RNA
Rfam family: Bacterial small subunit ribosomal RNA (bases 65-494)
Source: RNAcentral
GGGGGGGGGGGGGGGGGGGGGGGGGGGGGGGGGGGCGGGCGGGGGGGGCGGCUGUGCCGGGGGGGGGGCGGGUGCGCGGGUGGCGAACGGGGGAGGAGCGCGCGAGUGAUCUGCCCCCAACGUGGGUAUGCGCCGGGGAAACGGGGGCUGAUUCCCGAGAGGACUGCAGGGUGGUGCCUGUGGGGGAAAGCAAUUUGCUAAUGGAGGGGGAUGAGCUCGCGGCCUAUCAGCUUGUUGGUGGGGUCAUGGCCUACCAAGGCGGCGACGGGGAGCCGGCCUGAGAGGGUGGACGGCCACAUUGGGACUGCGAUACGGCCCAGACUCCUACGGGAGGCAGCAGUGGGGAAUAUUGCACACUGGGCGGAAGCCUGAUGCAGCGACGCCGCGUGGGGGAUGACGGCCUUCGGGUUGUAAACUCCUUUCGACCGCGAGGCAGCCACCUGGUUGGAAGGGUGGUGACGGUAGUGGUAGAAGAAGCACCGGCUAACUACGUG